Long non-coding RNA from Helianthus annuus (common sunflower), 1029 nucleotides. RefSeq lists it as uncharacterized. NCBI's taxonomy places the organism in Eukaryota, Viridiplantae, Streptophyta, Magnoliopsida, Asterales, Asteraceae. The transcript has 4 exons. The record is from RefSeq and is a predicted model, not a curated record.
UGGUUAUACAUCUCGCCCCCCACCACUCCAACUGGUUCAAAGUCCAUAUUAGAGAGAGAGAGAGCAGCGAUAGAACGGGAGAGAGAGAGAGGAGCGACGGGAAUGGCGAAACGACCAUUUUCUCCCGCCGACAAUCGUCUUGGCCUUCAGUCAGACCGGUUGCGGGUUGUGGUGGCUUGGACGCGUGAAACGAUGGUAGAAGGCGGUGGUUGACGAGGGUUAAACGUGAUAUAAUGUUACCGGUGAUAGAUGAAGCCGAUAAUGACGGUUGUGGGAUCUAGGGUCCCGUCUUCGAUUUAGAUCAACAGCCGAAACCCUAGGGUUCCGGUGAACGUGAAUGUCGCAACGACGAGGCAACGCCGACUGAUCCGACAACGACAAAGCAAGAAGCGAAAGUUGUCAAAAUUUUGUCUUCAUUCGAGGUGCCGGCUUUAAUGGAGAAAUCGCGGGCAGUUACUUCAUGGAAUUCUCAUUAUCAAAGAUCUGAAAUCGCGAGACCUUGGUGCGGGCUUCUUGCUCAGACUUCACUGAACCAAAGCAUGACUGCUUAUACACCAACCUUUUUAAUCGAGUCAAACAAGAAUGCAAAUGUUGUGAUUAAGGAUGUAAGCACGGUUCUUUGCAGUAUCAGGCUUAAUGAGGUAACGGGUAAUAUACUAAUAUUUCAUGUCACCUGUUUAGGGAUUCACAUCACAUUAAGCAGAAACAUUUCACAUGGAUUUUAGGAUAGUUAUUUGCAGUAUGAAUACUUAUUGUUUGUCGACAUGAUCAGUGCGAAGGCAGUUCUAUAGCGGUGCUUGAAAGCAAAGGAAGCAAGGGAUACAUUUAUGUUAACGGGAGGGUUAUAAAAUAGGGUACAAGUUGCGUUUGAGAUCAGGAGAUGAAGUCCUUUUUGGCUCUUUAGGAAAUCAUGCUUAUGUAUCCUUCUUUUAGCAUAAAUAUUUUGUUUAAUGCAUUAUUUGUUACUUUCGUUUCAAGAUUUUUCACAAUUUCUCUCUGUUAAUGCCAUCUUUCAUAUCUAUAACUAAA